UACGUAGGGGGCAAGCGUUGUCCGGAAUCAUUGGGCGUAAAGAGCGUGUAGGCGGCUUGGUAAGUCCGCUGUAAAAGUCCAGGGCUCAACCCUGGAAAGCCGGUGGAAACUACCAAGCUUGAGUCCGGAAGAGGCGAGUGGAAUUCCCGGUGUAGCGGUGAAAUGCGCAGAUAUCGGGAGGAGCACCAGUGGCGAAGGCGGCACUCUGGGCCGGUACUGACGCUGAGGAGCGAAAGCGUGGGGAGCGAACAGG
RNAcentral lists this ribosomal RNA (253 nucleotides) under uncultured bacterium. Its description in RNAcentral is "partial 16S ribosomal RNA". It matches the Rfam family "Bacterial small subunit ribosomal RNA", at positions 524 to 776 of the family's 1533-position model. The record is from RNAcentral.